AUCUUCUCUUUUUUUUCUUCUCGGGUCUUCGUUGGUGGUGUGAUCUUCGUUGGUGAUGGCAUAUUCAUUAAUUCUUCUUCUAGGGUGUUUGUUUCGUGAGCGAAUUUAUGAUCCCAAUCAUCGAUCCCCCCGCUUCGUCUUCAUCGGUCGCUGUCUAGGGAGGAAUUGAAGGAAUGGGAUCAGUAGGUUCUCCCAUUACAAAGGUUAUUGUUAAUAUUCAUCCCACUGGAUUGUAAAUUCCUGUUUGAGCUUUCCGGUCUCCACAUGCGCGCUACUAUAACAAUGUCUUCCAUGGCUGUAAUGACCAAACUGAUAUUGGUGUAUAGAUGACGUAACGGUAACAUGCUGCUGAAUGGUUAAGGGAUUUCUCAUCAGCCACGAACAUGAUUAGGUGCAUUUAUCAGUUCUAGAUGCUGAUAGUGAGUCUGCCUUGAAUAAUAUUGUGGAGGGUUCAAGAACUGUUGGUAAACAAGUCAAUGUGCAUUCAUAUGGUGUCCAUAUGACUUGAUGUCCAUAACACUCAGGCCCAUGAGUGCUGGAGCUUGUUGGAGCUCAUUGCCAUUUAAGCUCUGCCAUUACAAAGGUGGAUAUAUUCAGCGAUAAUGGGGUUCUUACGAUGGAAUACAUUGAUCAACUCCAAGGGCGAGGCUUGGUGGGUACGGAAGGUGUAUCUACGUAACGUGCAGAAUGGUUCAAGGGUUCCUCAUGGGUUUUGGAUGAUGCUUUGUGAUGCUAAGGUUGAUGAAGAUGGAAUGCUAAUGAUGGUUUUAGAUGAUGCUUUUAUCUAUCAGUGAUGGCUUUGACUGAUCUUCCUCAUGGGUUCUUUGCUCUAAACAUAUCUCUUUUAUUUCUUCGUAUAACCCCUCCGAUUUCAAGCUGCUCGCAGGCGACACUACACGCCUCCGUAUUUUUUCAUGCACUGCUCUAAUCAUGCCUUAGCUCAGGAGAUAUCUUGCUAUUUGGGUAUGGAGCGUGGGAAAACAUUUUGCUGAUGGUCGGAUACAUGUUAUAGGUGAUGAACCCGUGCCCAAGUUGUUGAUGCCCACAAUGGGGUCUUGCUGAUCAAUUUAAUUUUGGGAGGAAUUAGUAGUUAAAACAAUUAGGAAGAAACUGGUUUGGCUCGCUGCUGGUGCAGAGGUUUUGGAUGAAGCUUUAACCUAUCAUCACUGAUGGCUUUGACUGAUCUUCCUCAGGCGUUCUCAUGGGUUCAUUGCUCUAAACGUUUUGGAUGAUGA
Camelina sativa (false flax) is the source of this 1235-nucleotide non-coding RNA. The record is from RefSeq and is a predicted model, not a curated record. NCBI's taxonomy places the organism in Eukaryota, Viridiplantae, Streptophyta, Magnoliopsida, Brassicales, Brassicaceae.